This 72-nucleotide transfer RNA is filed under the name Bos taurus (domestic cattle). It matches the Rfam family "tRNA". From Rfam's summary of the family: Transfer RNA (tRNA) molecules are approximately 80 nucleotides in length. Their secondary structure includes four short double-helical elements and three loops (D, anti-codon, and T loops). The record is from Rfam by way of RNAcentral. RNAcentral also lists the same sequence under 5 other names. Lineage: Eukaryota; Metazoa; Chordata; Mammalia; Artiodactyla; Bovidae.
UCCCUGAUAGCUCAGUUGGUAAAGUAUCCACCUUCAGUGUGGGAAACCUAGGUUUGAUCCCUGGGUUGGGAA